GACGAACGCUGGCGGCGUGCUUAACACAUGCAAGUCGAACGGAAAGGCCCUGCUUUUGUGGGGUGCUCGAGUGGCGAACGGGUGAGUAACACGUGAGUAACCUGCCCUUGACUUUGGGAUAACUUCAGGAAACUGGGGCUAAUACCGGAUAGGAGCUCCUGCUGCAUGGUGGGGGUUGGAAAGUUUCGGCGGUUGGGGAUGGACUCGCGGCUUAUCAGCUUGUUGGUGGGGUAGUGGCUUACCAAGGGUUUGACGGGUAGACGGCCUGAGAGGGUGAACGGCCACAUUGGGACUGAGAUACGGCCCAGACUCCUACGGGAGGCAGCAGUGGGGAGUAUUGCACAAUGGGCGGAAGCCUGAUGCAGCAACGCCGCGUGCGGGAUGACGGCCUUCGGGUUGUAAACCGCUUUCGCCUGUGACGAAGCGUGAGUGACGGUAAUGGGUAAAGAAGCACCGGCUAACUACGUG
RNAcentral lists this ribosomal RNA (468 nucleotides) under uncultured bacterium. Its description in RNAcentral is "partial 16S ribosomal RNA". It matches the Rfam family "Bacterial small subunit ribosomal RNA", at positions 28 to 507 of the family's 1533-position model. The record is from RNAcentral.